GCCUUGGUGUAAGGGUAUAUGAAUAUAGUGAUUUGGACGUUGUGAAUCUAUUCUCAACUAUGGCAGGGAAAUGCUUUACGGCUGUUCCCCUCCUUGUUGCAGUUUCGUCGGGCUCUUGAGUCCAAGGAUACUUCGACUUUUGGACUAAAUGAAAAAUAGCGAAUGACAAAAACCAGCAGCUUAGAAGCUACUUACAAGUAUCCAAAUAAACAAGAAGCCGCAACCACAUCCCCAAUC
Drosophila pseudoobscura is the source of this 237-nucleotide long non-coding RNA. RefSeq lists it as uncharacterized. NCBI's taxonomy places the organism in Eukaryota, Metazoa, Arthropoda, Insecta, Diptera, Drosophilidae. The transcript has 2 exons. The record is from RefSeq and is a predicted model, not a curated record.